UACGUAGGGACCAAGCGUUGUUCGGAAUUACUGGGCGUAAAGCGCACGUAGGCGGACUAUUAAGUCAGGGGUGAAAUCCCGGGGCUCAACCCCGGAACUGCCUUUGAUACUGGUAGUCUCGAGUCCGGAAGAGGUGAGUGGAAUUCCGAGUGUAGAGGUGAAAUUCGUAGAUAUUCGGAGGAACACCAGUGGCGAAGGCGGCUCACUGGUCCGGUACUGACGCUGAGGUGCGAAAGCGUGGGGAGCAAACAGG
RNAcentral lists this ribosomal RNA (253 nucleotides) under uncultured bacterium. RNAcentral describes it as "partial 16S ribosomal RNA". It matches the Rfam family "Bacterial small subunit ribosomal RNA", at positions 524 to 776 of the family's 1533-position model. The record is from RNAcentral.